RNAcentral lists this ribosomal RNA (497 nucleotides) under uncultured bacterium. RNAcentral's name for it is "partial 16S ribosomal RNA". It matches the Rfam family "Bacterial small subunit ribosomal RNA", at positions 28 to 507 of the family's 1533-position model. The record is from RNAcentral.
GAUGAACGCUGGCGGCGUGCCUAAUACAUGCAAGUCGAGCGAACAGACGAGGAGCUUGCUCCUUCGACGUUAGCGGCGGACGGGUGAGUAACACGUAGGUAACCUACCUAUAAGACUGGGAUAACUUCGGGAAACAGGAGCUAAUACCGGAUAAUAUUUCGAACCGCAUGGUUCGAUAGUGAAAGAUGGCUUUGCUAUCACUUAUAGAUGGACCUGCGCCGUAUUAGCUAGUUGGUAAGGUAACGGCUUACCAAGGCAACGAUACGUAGCCGACCUGAGAGGGUGAUCGGCCACACUGGAACUGAGACGCGGUCCAGACUCCUACGGGAGGCAGCAGUAGGGAAUCUUCCGCAAUGGGCGAAAGCCUGACGGAGCAACGCCGCGUGAGUGAUGAAGGUCUUCGGAUCGUAAAACUCUGUUAUUAGGGAAGAACAAACGUGUAAGUAACUGUGCACGUCUUGACGGUACCUAAUCAGAAAGCCACGGCUAACUACGUG